GAUCGAGUUGUAAUUUGAAGAAGCGUUUUUUGCGUAUUUGGUCAGCCUAAGUCCUAUUGAAUGAGGCAUCAUGGAGGGUGAUAAUCCCGUCCGGUUGAUCAUUUGCGUUUUACGAUACGCUUUCUAAGAGUCAAGUUGUUUGGGAUUGCAGCUUAAAAUGGGAGGUAAAUUUCUCCUAAGGCUAAAUAACGGCGAGAGACCGAUAGCGAACAAGUACC
RNAcentral lists this ribosomal RNA (218 nucleotides) under Rhizophagus intraradices. RNAcentral's name for it is "partial 28S ribosomal RNA". It matches the Rfam family "Eukaryotic large subunit ribosomal RNA", at positions 136 to 352 of the family's 3401-position model. The record is from RNAcentral. Lineage: Eukaryota; Fungi; Glomeromycota; Glomeromycetes; Glomerales; Glomeraceae.